GAGUCUGCGUAUCUCGAUGUUAAAUCAACAAAGCUGCUCGCCAGAACACUACGAGCCACAAGCUUAAAACUCAAAGGACUUGGCGGUGCUUCAUAUCCCUCUAGAGGAGCCUGUUCUGUAAUCGAUAAACCCCGAUCAACCUCACCACCUCUUGCACAUCCUAUAUAACGCCUGCUCAGCAAACAAAAAA
RNAcentral lists this ribosomal RNA (190 nucleotides) under Crocodylus palustris (marsh crocodile). Its description in RNAcentral is "partial 12S ribosomal RNA". Lineage: Eukaryota; Metazoa; Chordata; Crocodylia; Crocodylidae. The record is from RNAcentral.